RNAcentral lists this ribosomal RNA (250 nucleotides) under uncultured bacterium. Its description in RNAcentral is "partial 16S ribosomal RNA". It matches the Rfam family "Bacterial small subunit ribosomal RNA", at positions 524 to 773 of the family's 1533-position model. The record is from RNAcentral.
UACGUAGGGUGCAAGCGUUAAUCGGAAUUACUGGGCGUAAAGAGUGCGUAGGCGGAGAUACAAGUUAGAUGUGAAAUCCCCGAGCUUAACUUGGGAAUUGCAUUUAAGACUGUAUGUCUAGAGUUAGUAAGAGGAUAGGAGAAUUCCGAGUGUAGCAGUGAAAUGCGUAGAGAUUCGGAGGAAUAUCGGUGGCGAAGGCGCCUAUCUGGGAUAUAACUGACGCUGAGGCACGAAAGCGUGGGGAGCAAAC